UACGGAGGGUGCAAGCGUUAUCCGGAUUCACUGGGUUUAAAGCGUGCGCAGGCGGUUCGUCGUGUCCGAUGUGAAAGCCCCGGGCUCAACCUGGGAAUGGCAUUGGAAACUGGCGGGCUUGAGUGUGGCAGAGGGGGGUGGAAUUCCGCGUGUAGCAGUGAAAUGCGUAGAGAUGCGGAGGAACACCGAUGGCGAAGGCAGCCCCCUGGGCUGACACUGACGCUCAGGCACGAAAGCGUGGGGAGCAAACAGG
This 253-nucleotide ribosomal RNA is filed under the name uncultured bacterium. RNAcentral describes it as "partial 16S ribosomal RNA". It matches the Rfam family "Bacterial small subunit ribosomal RNA", at positions 524 to 776 of the family's 1533-position model. The record is from RNAcentral.